UAACGGAUAUUGGGCAAUGAGCGAAAGCUUGACCCAGCAAUGCCGCGUGCAGGAUGAAGCCCCUCGGGGUGUAAACUGCUGUCAGGGUCUAGGAAGAUCUGACCAGACCCAGAGGAAGGGCCGGCUAACUUCGUGCCAGCAGCCGCGGUAAUACGAAGGGCCCGAGCGUUAAUCGGAAUCACUGGGCUUAAAGGGUGCGCAGGCGGAACGGCGAGUGUCUUGUGAAAUCCCACGGCUCAACCGUGGAACUGCAGGGCAUACUGCCGUUCUUGAGGCCGGAAGAGGUUGCCGGAACUCUAGGUGUAGCGGUGAAAUGCGUAGAUAUCUAGAGGAACGCCAAAGGCGAAGGCAGGCAACUGGGCCGGUUCUGACGCUCAGGCACGAAAGCGUGGGGAGCAAACA
Molecule: ribosomal RNA, 402 nt
Filed under: uncultured bacterium
Lineage: Bacteria
Description: bacterial SSU rRNA
Rfam family: Bacterial small subunit ribosomal RNA
Source: RNAcentral